Long non-coding RNA from Heterocephalus glaber (naked mole-rat), 435 nucleotides. NCBI's taxonomy places the organism in Eukaryota, Metazoa, Chordata, Mammalia, Rodentia, Bathyergidae. The record is from Ensembl.
CAAGUUGUCAUGCUGGAGAUGAAUUGUCAGACCUAGUUUGGAAGGCUCAAAUAUUUAUUUUGGAAAAAUCUUGGAUUUACCCCUACUUCAAGUGUGGUCAGAAUACUAUGAUGACAGACUUCAUCUGAGAUGUAAGACAGGCAAGGCAGCACUUUGCCUUGGAACUCAGAAAUGGGCCAGUGAAACAAUACCAACCUCGGCUCAAUGGGUCUCAGGCUCUUGGUGAAACCCAGCAUUGUGGUAUUGGUGACCACAGAACUGACCAUCCCAUCUCCAUCUUUCCACCAACUUCAGGUAACAAACAAGGAGAAAAUCAUUGUCUCCUUGGAGGAAGCAGAGGGAAAUAUGGGCCAACAUGUUGCAUAGGAGCCUAGAGCUGGUCACUGCAAAGUAAGGACCAGUACCAGGAGGAGUAUUUUUCACCUAAACACUGGC